AGGUCUUGUAGUGCAGCCAAGGAUGACUUGCCAUUAAGCUUGGCUUGGCGUUAUUAUGAUGAAGACCUACUUUUCAUGCCAUCAUGUUCCUAUAUAUGCUAACUAGUUAACCGGCAAGCCAACUCUGGCUACACAAUGACCUCU
Non-coding RNA from Glycine soja, 144 nucleotides. Lineage: Eukaryota; Viridiplantae; Streptophyta; Magnoliopsida; Fabales; Fabaceae. The record is from Rfam.